Molecule: ribosomal RNA, 428 nt
Filed under: uncultured bacterium
Lineage: Bacteria
Description: bacterial SSU rRNA
Rfam family: Bacterial small subunit ribosomal RNA
Source: RNAcentral
GUCGAGAAUCUUCCGCAAUGCGCGAAAGCGUGACGGAGCGACACCGCGUGAUGGAUGAAGUCCUUCGGGGCGUAAACAUCUUUUAUAAAGGAGGAAAUUUUUGACGUUACUUUAUGAAUAAGGGGCUCCCAAUCUCGUGCCAGCAGGAGCGGUAAUACGAGAGCCUCAAGCGUUAUCCGGAAUCAUUGGGCGUAAAGGGUGCGUAGGUGGUUUGAUUAGUCUCCCGUUAAAACUUCGAGCUUAACUCGAAAAGAGCGGGGGAAACGGUCAAACUAGAGUAUGUGAGAGGUGUGUGCAACUCAUGGUGUAGGGGUGAAAUCCGUUGAUAUCAUGGGGAACACCAAAAGCGAAGGCAGCACACUGGCACAUCACUGACACUGAGGCACGAAACCUAAGGUAGCGAAUGGGAUUAGAAACCCCUGUAGUCC